GCUUGCUGUUGGAGCCAUUGCCGGAGUUUACUGCCUGUUGGUGGCGGCUCAUUGCCGACUGUUGUUGGUCGAUGGAAGCUUGCUGUUGUUCACUGAUCGGAGCAGUUGAAUGGGAGAGAGGAGAGGGGAGAAAAGAGGAACAAGGGAGGCGGCUGCGACUGCGCCUGGCUCAUCGCCGAUUGCUACUGCCCACCGGUUGCUGGACUUCCUGGCGGCUGCCACCAACUGCCUUCUCCGGAAAAAAAAGGGGGAAGAGAGAGGGAAAGGAGGAUCAAUAGGGAAGAGGAACGAAGGAGAAUGGAAGAAACGCGAGGGAUAUAAAGGGGCGGAGAGGAAGGCGAGGGGAGAGAGUCCACCGGCGAUUGGUGGUUUUCACCGGAAAGAAUGGGGAGAAAGAGAGAGAGAGGG
RNAcentral lists this unclassified non-coding RNA (408 nucleotides) under Hevea brasiliensis (rubber tree). Lineage: Eukaryota; Viridiplantae; Streptophyta; Magnoliopsida; Malpighiales; Euphorbiaceae. The record is from RNAcentral.